GGAGUCAAACGCAUUUAACCUGAACCCUUCCCGUCUCCUUAAAGGUCACCCAAGUUGAGGUAAACGUUGAAAGUAUCAAUAUCAACGAAAGCGAAUCUUAAUCGAGCCUAACCUACAUGGAUUAAAAUAUAAACCAUGGAAUUACACAUAUGUUAUUGGAGGGCGAGUCCCAAAAUAAAAAAUGCAGCAGCAGUCAACUUCAUCACUGCCCCUUCUGCACAUAUAAGGCUGAACAAUAUAUGGCCAACAACCGCAUCAAAGGUCAUGCUUCAGUGUGGCACAAAGAGUUCACAAUCAUAAAGUGUGGCUUCAGUUGUAGAAAUGCGACACGCUGUGUUUGCUUCAAACAGCCAUGUCACUGCUACUUGGUUUCCACCAGCAUCAUUGAACCCCAUGGAUCACCUGCCGGAGAAUGCAGCAAGUCUGCAGUGGAUUCUUAUUUCAGUAUGAGAACCUGGACAUUGGACAAUAUGUGUAAGUAAAUUUAGUUUUGCCUUUGUUAUUGUUUGUUUACUGUAAAACGAAGUUGCUCAUUGCCGAUCUUAUUCUUUGCUAGAAUUAUAAUGCGUCAUAGCUAUGUUUCAUUUACCACUACCUUUCUUUCAGUAUAAAUCAUACAACUUUAAAGUCAUAGGUUUAAA
Molecule: long non-coding RNA, 641 nt
Filed under: Salmo salar (Atlantic salmon)
Lineage: Eukaryota; Metazoa; Chordata; Actinopteri; Salmoniformes; Salmonidae
Description: lncRNA (ENSSSAG00000107615.1)
Source: RNAcentral